Molecule: ribosomal RNA, 366 nt
Filed under: uncultured eukaryote
Lineage: Eukaryota
Description: partial 18S ribosomal RNA
Rfam family: Eukaryotic small subunit ribosomal RNA
Source: RNAcentral
CAAUAGCGUAUAUUAACGUUGUUGCAGUUAAAAAGCUCGUAGUUGGAUUUCUGGAGGGAGCGUCGGCCCGUAUUUACGAGUGCGUGACGUCUCUGUCCAUCCUUGCGGGAAGGCACGGCAUUGAUUUGUUGUGUCGGAUCGCAUCAUUUACUGUGAAAAAAUUAGAGUGUUCAAAGCAGGCUUUCGCUUGAAUACAUUAGCAUGGAAUAAUAAGAUAGGACUUUGGUGCUAUUUUGUUGGUUGAGCCUAAAGUAAUGUUUAAUAGGGAUAGUUGGGGGCACCUGUAUUGCGUUGUCAGAGGUGAAAUUCUUGGAUUUACGCAAGACAAACAGCUGCGAAAGCGUCUGCCAAGGAUGUUUUCAUUAA